This 436-nucleotide ribosomal RNA is filed under the name uncultured bacterium. RNAcentral describes it as "partial 16S ribosomal RNA". It matches the Rfam family "Bacterial small subunit ribosomal RNA", at positions 29 to 507 of the family's 1533-position model. The record is from RNAcentral.
AACGAACGCUGGCGGCAUGCCUAACACAUGCAAGUCGAACGAGAUCCUUCGGGGUCUAGUGGCGCACGGGUGCGUAACGCGUGGGAAUCUGCCCUUAGGUUCGGAAUAACAGUUAGAAAUGACUGCUAAUACCGGAUGAUGACGUUAAGUCCAAAGAUUUAUCGCCUGAGGAUGAGCCCGCGUAGGAUUAGCUAGUUGGUGUGGUAAAGGCGCACCAAGGCGACGAUCCUUAGCUGGUCUGAGAGGAUGAUCAGCCACACUGGGACUGAGACACGGCCCAGACUCCUACGGGAGGCAGCAGUGGGGAAUAUUGGACAAUAGGCGCAAGCCUGAUCCAGCAAUGCCGCGUGAGUGAUGAAGGCCUUAGGGUUGUAAAGCUCUUUUACCCGAGAUGAUAAUGACAGUAUCGGGAGAAUAAGCCCCGGCUAACUCCGUG